This 632-nucleotide ribosomal RNA is filed under the name Salmonella enterica subsp. enterica serovar Agona. Its description in RNAcentral is "bacterial SSU rRNA". It matches the Rfam family "Bacterial small subunit ribosomal RNA", at positions 901 to 1533 of the family's 1533-position model. Lineage: Bacteria; Pseudomonadati; Pseudomonadota; Gammaproteobacteria; Enterobacterales; Enterobacteriaceae. The record is from RNAcentral.
UCAAAUGAAUUGACGGGGGCCCGCACAAGCGGUGGAGCAUGUGGUUUAAUUCGAUGCAACGCGAAGAACCUUACCUGGUCUUGACAUCCACGGAAGUUUUCAGAGAUGAGAAUGUGCCUUCGGGAACCGUGAGACAGGUGCUGCAUGGCUGUCGUCAGCUCGUGUUGUGAAAUGUUGGGUUAAGUCCCGCAACGAGCGCAACCCUUAUCCUUUGUUGCCAGCGAUUCGGUCGGGAACUCAAAGGAGACUGCCAGUGAUAAACUGGAGGAAGGUGGGGAUGACGUCAAGUCAUCAUGGCCCUUACGACCAGGGCUACACACGUGCUACAAUGGCGCAUACAAAGAGAAGCGACCUCGCGAGAGCAAGCGGACCUCAUAAAGUGCGUCGUAGUCCGGAUUGGAGUCUGCAACUCGACUCCAUGAAGUCGGAAUCGCUAGUAAUCGUGGAUCAGAAUGCCACGGUGAAUACGUUCCCGGGCCUUGUACACACCGCCCGUCACACCAUGGGAGUGGGUUGCAAAAGAAGUAGGUAGCUUAACCUUCGGGAGGGCGCUUACCACUUUGUGAUUCAUGACUGGGGUGAAGUCGUAACAAGGUAACCGUAGGGGAACCUGCGGUUGGAUCACCUCCUUA